UACGUAGGGUGCGAGCGUUGUCCGGAUUUAUUGGGCGGAAAGAGCUCGUAGGCGGCUCGUCGCGUCGACCGUGAAAACCCGCGGCUUAACUGCGGGCUUGCGGUUGAUACGGGCGGGCUAGAGUUCGGUAGGGGAGACUGGAAUUCCUGGUGUAGCGGUGAAAUGCGCAGAUAUCAGGAGGAACACCGGUGGCGAAGGCGGGUCUCUGGGCCGAUACUGACGCUGAGGAGCGAAAGCGUGGGGAGCGAACAGG
This 253-nucleotide ribosomal RNA is filed under the name uncultured bacterium. RNAcentral describes it as "partial 16S ribosomal RNA". It matches the Rfam family "Bacterial small subunit ribosomal RNA", at positions 524 to 776 of the family's 1533-position model. The record is from RNAcentral.